UCUGAAUCAGUUUCUUCACUAGUACUCUUUCAUAUUCACUCUUUUGCCAAAUUGUUGAACCAUGAAGCUUAUGUGGGUCACUCUUGGGGAUUAUUAUUUUCAUUAUCGCUUUGAUCCAAUGUCCCAAACUUCUGCUUGAAGGAGUCCUGCCUCUGCAGCCACAUCACCUGCAAAGCAGCAGCCCAGGCAAUGAGGAAAGAAGCGAACCAGAAUUUCUUGUCCUUGAGUAGUUGCUUUGCUUCCAUAAUUUAGAUACAAAACCAAAACCCUAACCCUAGAGAUUUCACACAGGGUUAGUGCUUGAUUAGGAGAUCAAAGAGUGUGCUUGAUGCAGCUGGG
Molecule: unclassified non-coding RNA, 339 nt
Filed under: Hevea brasiliensis (rubber tree)
Lineage: Eukaryota; Viridiplantae; Streptophyta; Magnoliopsida; Malpighiales; Euphorbiaceae
Source: RNAcentral